RNAcentral lists this ribosomal RNA (495 nucleotides) under uncultured bacterium. RNAcentral describes it as "partial 16S ribosomal RNA". It matches the Rfam family "Bacterial small subunit ribosomal RNA", at positions 28 to 507 of the family's 1533-position model. The record is from RNAcentral.
GAUGAACGCUGGCGGCGUGCCUAAUACAUGCAAGUAGAACGCUGAAGGAGGAGCUUGCUCUUCUGGAUGAGUUGCGAACGGGUGAGUAACGCGUAGGUAACCUGCCUGGUAGCGGGGGAUAACUAUUGGAAACGAUAGCUAAUACCGCAUGACAACAGUUAUUGCAUGAUAACUGUUUAAAAGGGGCAACUGCUCCACUACCAGAUGGACCUGCGUUGUAUUAGCUAGUUGGUGAGGUAACGGCUCACCAAGGCGACGAUACAUAGCCGACCUGAGAGGGUGAUCGGCCACACUGGGACGGGGACACGGCCCAGACUACUACGGGAGGCAGCAGUAGGGAAUCUUCGGCAAUGGACGGAAGGCUGACCGAGCAACGCCGCGUGAGUGAAGAAGGUUGUCGGAUCGUAAAGAUCUGUUGUAAGAGAAGAACGAGUGUGAGAGUGGAAAGUUCACACUGUGACGGUAUCUGACCAGAAAGGGACGGCUAACUACGUG